GAAGUUCUUCUCCAGUGGCCCCUGAUCCAGGGAGACCCACCCUGCAACAGCCCUUGUCUCCCUCCGCCCUUGGUUCCUUCUCACCCAUCUCGCCACCAUCUGCCCAGGGGAGCCAGAUGUCCCAAAUUUUGGAGAGAAAAUAAUUGAGGCUCAUUUCCAGGACAGAGGGGCGAGCUGGUUCUAAAGAGCCAAGCAGAAAGGCUUCCCAAAAUCGCUAGGUUGGGAGAGGUCAGAGAUGUGUGGCUGCCCCAGCUGUUCUGACUCUGCCCCAGCUUUUGGCUCCACCCACUUAAAGCACCUUCAGAGGUUCCCAUGGCGACAGUAAACAAGUCUCCACUGCCUUGGCCAUGUGCUGUGUUCACCCCACUCCUGAUCUUGUUGGCUGCUCAGGGGCUGACAGCCCAGGUGUGCAGCUGUGAUGAGCAGAAACAGGGAGGAAUGGAGCCCCCAGCCAUUGUCAUCACUUCCUCAAGCUGUCUAAAUUCUGCUCAGCAGUCUGUGAAAAUGUUGUGCUGAUGACAUAUGUAAGGACUCUAACUCCCCUCAAACAAUCUGCUCACCUGAAAGGCUCACUCCUGUUGUAAUAAAUGACACAUAAGGUCACAAUUCAACCGGUACCCACCUUGGAUACCACUUCUUAUGUAAACAUCAAACAUACACCCUCUUCCCACACACUAAUGUAUCUUGUAUAUUUGAAAUAAAAGUUAGAGAUAUACAUACAGAGAUUUAAAAUCUAAAACUGUCCCCUCCCCAGUAAGUCAUGUAUCUGUUAAAAGAGUAUCUGGAAACCUCCAAAAGGAAGCCAAGCAUAGACUACUUGGAAGAACUUGAAGGAGCGAGAGCUGACCCCAUCUUUGUACACUGGCAGCACAAGGACAACAAUCAACACGGAAGACUUCUGUGACCAAAUGUGUGCAUGUUUCUCUCCAUACACCAACCAAGCAAUCUAUUCUGCAGCAGACACCAACUGGAAGUCCUCCAAUUCAAUUCAAUUCUGACACUGUCUACCUGGAAAUGGCCUCAGCAACCACAGGUUGAGAGCUCAGUCCCACAAGAACACCCCCUCCUUCCAACCAGUUGAAACUCCACACCUCCAGAACUUCUCACUGACUGGCUUCGAGUUGGGGUUUCCACAGUCCUCUGUUUGAGUUUGAUUAAUUUGCUAGAGCAGUUCACAGAACACAAGGAAACACUUACUUAUGUUGAUCAAUUUAUCACAAAGGAUGUUUUAAAGCAUCCAAAUGGGGGCCAGGCACAGUGGCUCAUGCCUGUAAUCCCAGCACUUUGGGAGGCCGAGGCAGGCGGAUCAUGAGGUCAGGAGAUCAAGACCAUCCUGGCUAACACGGUGAAACCCCGUCUCUACUAAAAAAAAAAAAAAAAGAAAAAAAUUAGCCGGGUGUGGUGGUGGGCACCUGUAGUCCCAGCUACUCACGAGGCUGAGG
Molecule: long non-coding RNA, 1442 nt
Organism: Gorilla gorilla gorilla (western lowland gorilla)
Lineage: Eukaryota; Metazoa; Chordata; Mammalia; Primates; Hominidae
Exons: 3
Source: RefSeq, a predicted model, not a curated record